Long non-coding RNA from Xiphophorus couchianus (Monterrey platyfish), 880 nucleotides. RefSeq lists it as uncharacterized. NCBI's taxonomy places the organism in Eukaryota, Metazoa, Chordata, Actinopteri, Cyprinodontiformes, Poeciliidae. The record is from RefSeq and is a predicted model, not a curated record. The transcript has 2 exons.
CAGAAAUAGCUAUUUAUUAAUAUUUUAACUAUUUAAUGUGAUUUAUAACACAUUGUGGUACAACUGGCCAUUGAGAACAUUCAUACUGAUCUGACCCGGUCCGGGCCAGACCCCGAGAGCAAAAUGAGGGGGCGUCACUAUGGGAAACCUGGUCAUAUUGUGUGGAAGUCUAAGACUUUGUGUAAACGACUGCUUUAACAUUUUCUCAACUUGUUCAAUUUUGCUCAGGAUGUGACUUAGGUCAGUUCAUUUUGAUGAUGAUACUGAAACCACUAAGAUUUAUUCCAGUCACAUUUUUUUUUCUCCGUUUAUGCCUCCAAUCAUUUCUCCAUAAUCAUAGCAACGUUCAUCUUCUGCGCAUGUGGACAUAGAAGUGUCAUUGCGGCAGUACGAUCAAGACAAUAAAAAGACAAUAAAUUGGAAUUGAACACCAAGACCUGCUGUGUAACGGAAGCUUUAUAACCUAAAGGCAAUUUAGAGACAUCACAACAGUGAACCUAACUAAGAGAUGCAUUUUUUACCUGAACCAAAAUUAAGAAUUUCCACCAUUUUUGAACAAUAAAAGUAUUAACAGAAUGAGCUUUGAUAGCAUUACCUCUUUUCUGUUCAUUAUCUCUCUCUCUCUCUAUAUAUAUAUAUAUACAGUAUAUAUAUAUAUAAAGGAUUUUUAAUCACACAAAGUGUAUAGACAGUAAUACAAAAUACAACUGUGUGCAAAAGUAAUAAUGUUUAAUUCAAAUAAAACCAUGCAACAGGUGACAGUCACCCUGAUUAGGCUCUACCCCAUUACAAAAUAAACAUCCAAAGCCGUACGUCGUCUUCAGUGAGCGUUCGCUGAACGACGGAAAGAAGAGACAAUUCCAUGGAAUACACAGGGAAA